UAGGGAAUCUUCCACAAUGGACGCAAGUCUGAUGGAGCAACGCCGCGUGAGUGAAGAAGGUUUUCGGACCGUAAAGCUCUGUUGUUGGUGAAGAAGGAUAGAGGUAGUAACUGGCCUUUAUUUGACGGUAAUCAACCAGAAAGUCACGGCUAACUACGUGCCAGCAGCCGCGGUAAUACGUAGGUGGCAAGCGUUGUCCGGAUUUAUUGGGCGUAAAGCGAGCGCAGGCGGAAGAAUAAGUCUGAUGUGAAAGCCCUCGGCUUAACCGAGGAAUUGCAUCGGAAACUGUUUUCUUGAGUGCAGAAGAGGAGAGUAGAACUCCAUGUGUAGCGGUGGAAUGCGUAGAUAUAUGGAAGAAUACCAGUGGCGAAGGCGGCUCUCUGGUCUGCAACUGACGCUGAGGCUCGAAAGCAUGGGUAGCGAACAGGAUUAGAUACCCUGGUAGUCCAUGCCGUAAACGAUGAGUGCUAAGUGUUGGAGGGUUUCCGCCCUUCAGUGCUGCAGCUAACGCAUUAAGCACUCCGCCUGGGGGAGUACGACCGCAAGGUUGAAAC
RNAcentral lists this ribosomal RNA (554 nucleotides) under uncultured bacterium. Its description in RNAcentral is "partial 16S ribosomal RNA". It matches the Rfam family "Bacterial small subunit ribosomal RNA", at positions 355 to 900 of the family's 1533-position model. The record is from RNAcentral.